GUAGCAUCCGUCGAUGACAGUUGCACGACGAGCCACUCCCGCCCCCGCGAACGAAGGGCAAAGACCGACCCGAAGGCAAGCGUCAUUCAAGGCAACUGAAAUUCGAGGGACACAAUGGGGCAUCGACCCACGUUCACCGCAUGGACUGCAUCCGAGAGAACGGUAUAUGCCCGUGUACCACAGAAGUCAUGACAAUGCAUAACUAAUGAGGAGCACGUGCAUCACCCUGAAAUCCUCCGGAGCCCCGCAAAGGAAGCCCGGAUGGAAGGAUAAUUACAAGCCACACGAAUACCAUUUUACAGGUAGGCAACACAGGAACCGUGAAUGAACACCAGAGCC
RNAcentral lists this unclassified non-coding RNA (339 nucleotides) under Jacksonia horrida. RNAcentral's name for it is "partial external transcribed spacer". Lineage: Eukaryota; Viridiplantae; Streptophyta; Magnoliopsida; Fabales; Fabaceae. The record is from RNAcentral.